CCAAUAGCGUAUAUUAAAGUUGUUGCAGUUAAAAAGCUCGUAGUUGAAUUUCGGGAUCAAUAUGUCGGUCGUGCCUUCGGUACGUACUGGUAUCAUUGGUCUCUCCUUUCUGACGAACCAUGAUGUCAUUAAUUUGGUGUUAUGGGGAGUUAGGACUGUUACUUUGAAAAAAUUAGAGUGUUUAAAGCAGUCUUUAGCUUGAAUACAUUAGCAUGGAAUAAUGAAAUAGGACGUUCGAACCUAUUUUGUUGGUUUCUAGGAUCAACGUAAUGAUUAAUAGGGAUAGUUGGGGGCAUUAGUAGUCAAUUGUCAGAGGUGAAAUUCUUGGAUUUAUUGAAGACUAACUACUGCGAAAGCAUUUGCCAAGGAUGUUUUCAUUAAUCAAGAACGAAAGUUAGGGGAUCGAAGACGAUCAGAUACCGUCGUAGUCUUAACCAUAAACUAUGCCGACUAGGGAUCGGAUGAUGUUAAUUUUUUAAUGACUCAUUCGGCGCCUUACGGGGAACCAAAGUGUUUGGUUC
This 521-nucleotide ribosomal RNA is filed under the name uncultured Glomus. Its description in RNAcentral is "SSU rRNA". It matches the Rfam family "Eukaryotic small subunit ribosomal RNA", at positions 591 to 1114 of the family's 1831-position model. Lineage: Eukaryota; Fungi; Glomeromycota; Glomeromycetes; Glomerales; Glomeraceae. The record is from RNAcentral.